This 390-nucleotide ribosomal RNA is filed under the name uncultured bacterium. RNAcentral describes it as "bacterial SSU rRNA". It matches the Rfam family "Bacterial small subunit ribosomal RNA", at positions 28 to 419 of the family's 1533-position model. The record is from RNAcentral.
GACGAACGCUGGCGGCGUGCUUAACACAUGCAAGUCGAGCGGUAAGGCCCUUUCGGGGGUACACGAGCGGCGAACGGGUGAGUAACACGUGGGUGACCUGCCCUCAGCUCUGGGAUAAGCCUGGGAAACCGGGUCUAAUACUGGAUAUGACUCCAUGACGCAUGUUGUGGGGUGGAAAGCCUUGUGCGGCUGAGGAUGGGCCCGCGGCCUAUCAGCUUGUUGGUGGGGUGAUGGCCUACCAAGGCGACGACGGGUAGCCGGCCUGAGAGGGCGACCGGCCACACUGGGACUGAGACACGGCCCAGACUCCUACGGGAGGCAGCAGUGGGGAAUCUUGCGCAAUGGGCGAAAGCCUGACGCAGCGACGCCGCGUGAGGGAUGACGGCCUGU